RNAcentral lists this ribosomal RNA (314 nucleotides) under Saccharomyces sp. ALP1. RNAcentral's name for it is "SSU rRNA". It matches the Rfam family "Eukaryotic small subunit ribosomal RNA", at positions 567 to 888 of the family's 1831-position model. The record is from RNAcentral. Lineage: Eukaryota; Fungi; Ascomycota; Saccharomycetes; Saccharomycetales; Saccharomycetaceae.
CCAGCAGCCGCGGUAAUUCCAGCUCCAAUAGCGUAUAUUAAAGUUGUUGCAGUUAAAAAGCUCGUAGUUGAACUUUGGGCCCGGUUGGCCGGUCCGAUUUUUUCGUGUACUGGAUUUCCAACGGGGCCUUUCCUUCUGGCUAACCUUGAGUCCUUGUGGCUCUUGGCGAACCAGGACUUUUACUUUGAAAAAAUUAGAGUGUUCAAAGCAGGCGUAUUGCUCGAAUAUAUUAGCAUGGAAUAAUAGAAUAGGACGUUUGGUUCUAUUUUGUUGGUUCUAGGACCAUCGUAAUGAUUAAUAGGGACGGUCGGGGG